UGGGGAAUCUUGCGCAAUGGGCGAAAGCCUGACGCAGCAACGCCGCGUGUGUGAUGAAGGUCUUCGGAUCGUAAAGCACUGUCGGGAGGGAAGAACAAGCCUGUGGCCAACAUCCACGGGCCUUGACGGUACCUCCAAAGGAAGCACCGGCUAACUCUGUGCCAGCAGCCGCGGUAAUACAGAGGGUGCAAGCGUUGUUCGGAAUUAUUGGGCGUAAAGCGCGUGUAGGCGGUCCCGCAAGUUGGGUGUGAAAGCCCUCGGCUCAACCGAGGAAGUGCGCCCAAAACUACGGAACUUGAGUACCGGAGAGGAUGGCGGAAUGCCCGGUGUAGAGGUGAAAUUCGUAGAUAUCGGGCGGAACACCAGCGGCGAAGGCGGCCAUCUGGACGGAUACUGACGCUGAGACGCGAAAGCGUGGGGAGCAAACA
RNAcentral lists this ribosomal RNA (428 nucleotides) under uncultured Anaeromyxobacter sp. Its description in RNAcentral is "partial 16S ribosomal RNA". It matches the Rfam family "Bacterial small subunit ribosomal RNA", at positions 355 to 774 of the family's 1533-position model. Lineage: Bacteria; Pseudomonadati; Myxococcota; Myxococcia; Myxococcales; Anaeromyxobacteraceae. The record is from RNAcentral.